UAACCUGCCCAAGAGAUCGGGAUAACACCUGGAAACAGAUGCUAAUACCGGAUAACAACAGAUGAUGCCUAUCAACUGUUUAAAAGAUGGUUCUGCUAUCACUCUUGGAUGGACCUGCGGUGCAUUAGCUAGUUGGUAGGGUAACGGCCUACCAAGGCGAUGAUGCAUAGCCGAGUUGAGAGACUGAUCGGCCACAUUGGGACUGAGACACGGCCCAAACUCCUACGGGACAGCAGCU
This 238-nucleotide ribosomal RNA is filed under the name uncultured Lactobacillus sp. Its description in RNAcentral is "partial 16S ribosomal RNA". It matches the Rfam family "Bacterial small subunit ribosomal RNA", at positions 122 to 355 of the family's 1533-position model. Lineage: Bacteria; Bacillati; Bacillota; Bacilli; Lactobacillales; Lactobacillaceae. The record is from RNAcentral.